RNAcentral lists this ribosomal RNA (406 nucleotides) under uncultured bacterium. RNAcentral's name for it is "partial 16S ribosomal RNA". It matches the Rfam family "Bacterial small subunit ribosomal RNA", at positions 30 to 526 of the family's 1533-position model. The record is from RNAcentral.
AUUGAACGCUGGCGGCAAGCCUAACACAUGCAAGUCGUACGAGUGGCGGACGGGUGCGUAAUGUCUUGGAAACUGCCCGAUGGAGGGGGAUACCUACUGGAAACGGUAGCUAAUACCGCAUACCAUCGGAUGUGCCCAGAUGGGAUUAGCUAGGAGGGGGGGUAACGGCUCACCUAGGCGACGAUCCCUAGCGUGUCUGAGAGGAUGACCAGACACACUGGAACUGAGACACGGUCCAGACUCCUACGAGAGGCAGCAGUGGGGAAGAUUGCACAAUGGGCGCAAGCCUGAUGCAGCCAUGCCGCGUGUAUGAAGAAGGCCUUCGGGUUGUAAAGUACUUUCAGCGAGGAGGCGUUACCCGCAGAAGAAGCACCGGCUAACUCCGUGCCAGCAGCCGCGGUAAUAC